Non-coding RNA from Microcebus murinus (gray mouse lemur), 582 nucleotides. NCBI's taxonomy places the organism in Eukaryota, Metazoa, Chordata, Mammalia, Primates, Cheirogaleidae. The record is from RefSeq and is a predicted model, not a curated record.
CUAGCAUCCUUCAUCUCACCCACUUCAUCUGAUGUCUACUUUCCAUUCUUCUUCUUUGUGAGGUAUGAAUCCCUAUUAUGAUUUCAAAUUCUAAUAUUACAAUGACUUUCACUUAUUGAAGAGUUAUUACAAAUCAUACUUCUUUAUUUUGCUUAGUUUGUUUUAUCGGAUAAAAUACAGUAGGGGACAUAAACUAAGAAACUGUUGUUUAUCUGAAAUGCAAAUUUAACUGAGUGUCCUGUAUUUUUAUUUGUUAGCUUUGGCAAACCAAAAUUAAUUUGGGGCCAGAAUUAUCAUGCUUUGAACCAAAAUUUCACACAGGAUCAUCUUCUGUUAUUAUCUUUCAUCAUCCAAACUUACCCAUCCACGAAACUUGGCCUUGUUCCUCUUGAAAUACUAGGCCAGGACAACCACACUAAGACCAUUUCAAAUUAGGGAAAUAGAAGGUCAUGUGAAAUCUUGACUGGGUGGACAGAACCAUUAAAUAGCUUCUCAAGCCCCAUAAAAUCCAUGACAUAUAGAAAAGCUAAACAUUGUGAUUCUUGUCUAAAUGCUGUCUCAAAAGGACUGUGAUUUGCAAAG